RNAcentral lists this small RNA (125 nucleotides) under Marmota monax (woodchuck). The record is from RNAcentral. Lineage: Eukaryota; Metazoa; Chordata; Mammalia; Rodentia; Sciuridae.
GCUGGGUGCAUUGGUGUACCCCUGUAAUCCCAGCGCCUUGGGAGGCUGAGGCAGGAGGAUCACAAGUUCAAAGCCAGCCUCAGCAAAAGUGAGGCACUAAGCAACUCAGUGAGACCCUGUCUCUA